GACAGAGGUUGCAAACGUUGUUCGGAAUUACUGGGCAUAAAGCGCACGUAGGUGGUCCGCUAAGUCGGAUGUGAAAUUCCCCGGCUCAACCGGGGAACGGCAAUCGAUACUGGCGGGCUUGAGGUCCGGAGGGGUGAGUGGAACUCCUGGUGGAGCGGUGAAAUGCGUAGAUAUCAGGAGGAACACCAGUGGCGAAAGCGGCUCACUGGCCGGAAUCUGACACUGAGGUGCGAAAGCUAGGGUAGCAAACGGG
This 253-nucleotide ribosomal RNA is filed under the name uncultured bacterium. RNAcentral's name for it is "partial 16S ribosomal RNA". It matches the Rfam family "Bacterial small subunit ribosomal RNA", at positions 524 to 776 of the family's 1533-position model. The record is from RNAcentral.